GUACUGCUGAGGAGUCUCGAGCUAGGACGAAACAGCUGUCCAGUAC
Trichobilharzia regenti is the source of this 46-nucleotide non-coding RNA. The record is from Rfam. Lineage: Eukaryota; Metazoa; Platyhelminthes; Trematoda; Strigeidida; Schistosomatidae.